This 160-nucleotide ribosomal RNA is filed under the name uncultured Tetragenococcus sp. Its description in RNAcentral is "partial 16S ribosomal RNA". It matches the Rfam family "Bacterial small subunit ribosomal RNA", at positions 366 to 519 of the family's 1533-position model. The record is from RNAcentral. Lineage: Bacteria; Bacillati; Bacillota; Bacilli; Lactobacillales; Enterococcaceae.
CGGCAUUGGACGCAGUCUGACCGAGCAACGCCGCGUGAGUGAAGAAGGAUUUCGGAUCGUAUGGCUCUGUUGUCAGCAAAGAACAGGGAAAAGAGGAACUGCUUUUUCCAUGACGGUAUCUGACCAGAAAGCCACGGCUAACUACGUGCCAGCAGCCGCG